Molecule: long non-coding RNA, 2024 nt
Filed under: Zea mays
Lineage: Eukaryota; Viridiplantae; Streptophyta; Magnoliopsida; Poales; Poaceae
Description: long non-coding RNA (ZMAY_LNC001120)
Source: RNAcentral
UGGUAAGUUAUAAGUGGAUAGGACAUAAUGGGUCAGAGGACACUUGCCUUCACCAAACAGAUGCUCAAGAUCUUCAGCCUCAUAGAACUCAGAGAGCUUGAUCACAUGGUCGCCAACGCUUGAUCUUCGAUCCCUCGAAACUUGGAGAUGGAUCGCAUUCUAAUCACAACGCGGAGCGAAGACGAACAUACACAAGCAAGCAAACACAUAUAUGCAUAAGAACAUUACACCAUACAAAUACAAACAUAAUAAAACAUGCAAAACGAAAUAGAGCGCGUUACUACAGUCACGCGAGAAAAAAGAAGUGUCGAACUCGAAGCGUCGUUCCGGAAGAUAUCGCGUUUACGCUAAAUAAAUAUUAAGUAAAACAUUUAAUUCGAUAUUAUCAAAUAUAAAUUAUAACUGCUAUUUAGUUCUGAUUAAAUCUGUUACGCUAACAGCUGUCAAAUAAAUAAGUAAUUUAAUUAACACAAGAGAUUCUAAGCGAUGCGAAUUGACGAUGCACGAAACAGCACGACAGCGUGCGAACGACGCGCGGACAGGCGCGACAUCGCACGCUGACGACACACGAAACAGCGCGCGCGACGAGCGCGAACGAGCACGCCAUCACGUGCGGAACAACACGCGCGACAGACGAGGAAAACUAAAUAAGUGACACGUUUAUACUAAACAAAUAUUAAAUAAAUAGAAAGUAGUUAAGUUAAUAUUUACCAUGUUAAUAUUAUAAAAGCGCAAAUUGAACAUUACACAUUUAAUCUAACUGAGAUAUUAAUCUAAUAAAUAUUAGUCGAGCAAACCUUAGGUUGAUUAUCUAAAAUAUAUGACCUGACGAAUUAACCUUAUUAACAUGAGUGUUUAUAAGCGAAAAUAAUUUAUUAUCACACGUAGACGCCGCACGACACACGAAACAACACGAACGACGCGCGAACAACGCAACGACGGCGAGCGCCACAUGUGUGAAUAGCGCACGCGACAGGCGAGAAAUACUAAAUAGGUGUCACGUUUAUACUAAACAAGUAUUCAAUUCGAACUCAUUUGAGUUGACAUUAAUCACAUUAACUUGUACAUGUAUUUAUAAAAGUGUAACUUAAAACAAAACUAUAAACUAGUUUUAAUUAUAUUGCUAUUUUAAUAACCAACGGAUAAGCUGACAAUUAAUUAAAUACAUAGAACAUGUGUCGUUUUUAAUACGUAGUUGACGUUUUUAUAAAGUUGGUGCAACAUAAUUUAGUCUAAAUGGAUUUGCCACGCGAAAUAGAUUGAGUAAAUGACUAAUCGUGGCUUUAAAGUCAUGUGUCGUAUUUUCAUUGGCUGGCCGCAUGCAGCGGAGAAAUAAUAGAGAUAUAUUGCAUGCCGCUCAUAUGCAUGCGCAUGGGACCCAGGUGGUUUUUUUCAUUUUCCUAUGCGUGGACUGUACUUUGGAGAUUUUGCUGAGCCGCAUGCAGGUGGGCCCAUAGACAGCGGUUUCUUCUUUCUGUGUGCUUGAUGGCUUGCAACUGUAAAUGACGGAGAGGCUCGCCGGCGACCGGGGCUACAUCGGUGUGGCAAGAAAGGGCUAGGCCGGGGAACGCACAGGAUGGGAGCGGCCCACGCUCCCUGAUUGAGGCUUGACGCGCUUGCCGCAUGCCAGCAGGGGUCGACCGCGGCCAGAGCACUCGCAAACGCACAGGGAUAGGUGCAGACUGCAACAACCAUGCCGCGGCGUAGGGGCACAGUGCACGGGUUGGGCGCGGUGCUACGGCGAGGCAAAGCCUGCGGUGGCUCGGCAUGGAUCGCCGAGUAACUUCCCGACUUGGAGGCGAGGUGUGCGGUGUGGCUAUCAACGGCGUGGCGAGGAUGAGCGAGACAGUGCACACAACGACUCGACAGGGAGGGAACGACAGAGCUUACCAGUCAAGGCGACAUCGGCGGGCGUGCUGCGCAAGGUGUUUCGGCGAGGCAUGUCUACGGCGGAGCCCCGACGAGGAGGGUCGUCACGGUAUGCGCAGCGUGGAUUGUGUGUAGUGGGGGGAGUUGCUACUGGG